UACAGAGGUCCCAAGCGUUGUUCGGAUUCACUGGGCGUAAAGGGUGCGUAGGUGGCCGGUUAAGUCUGACGUGAAAUCUCCGAGCCUAACUCGGAAACUGCAUCGGAAACUAUCCGGCUCGAGGGUUGGAGGGGGGACUGGAAUACUUGGUGUAGCAGUGAAAUGCGUAGAUAUCAAGUGGAACACCAGUGGCGAAGGCGAGUCCCUGGACAACUCAUGACACUGAGGCACGAAAGCUAGGGGAGCAAACAGG
Molecule: ribosomal RNA, 253 nt
Filed under: uncultured bacterium
Lineage: Bacteria
Description: partial 16S ribosomal RNA
Rfam family: Bacterial small subunit ribosomal RNA
Source: RNAcentral